This 1630-nucleotide ribosomal RNA is filed under the name Chaetothyriales sp. MP-2014. RNAcentral describes it as "eukaryotic LSU rRNA". The stretch from base 709 to 1630 matches the Rfam family "Eukaryotic large subunit ribosomal RNA", at positions 1 to 940 of the family's 3401-position model. The record is from RNAcentral. Lineage: Eukaryota; Fungi; Ascomycota; Eurotiomycetes; Chaetothyriales.
AUGGCUCAGUGAGGCCUUGGGACUGGCUCAGAGAGGUCGGCAACGACCACUCAGAGCCGGAAACUUGGUCAAACUUGGUCAUUUAGAGGAAGUAAAAGUCGUAACAAGGUUUCCGUAGGUGAACCUGCGGAAGGAUCAUUAACGAGUUAGGGUCCCCUGGGCCCGACCUCCCAACCCUUUGUUUACUGAACCUUUUGUUGCUUCGGCGGGCCCGUCGUCUCGCGACGACCGCCGGAGGACCGCCGAGAGGCGUCCUCUGGCCCGCGCCCGCCGGUGGCCAGCACAUAAACUCUGAACAUGAACCGUGUCUGUAUUCUAAGUAUCUUGAUACCAAUCAAAAAAUAAAAACUUUCAACAACGGAUCUCUUGGUUCUGGCAUCGAUGAAGAACGCAGCGAAAUGCGAUAAGUAAUGCGAAUUGCAGAAUUUCAGUGAGUCAUCGAAUCUUUGAACGCACAUUGCGCCCUUUGGUAUUCCGAAGGGCAUGCCUGUUCGAGCGUCAUUAUCACCCCUCGAGCCCCCGGGCUUGGUGUUGGACGGCUUGGUCGCGACGCUUCCGGCGGCGACCCCUCCUAAAGACAAUGACGGCGGUCCCGUGGAGCCCCCGGUACAGUGAGCUUCUUAACUGAGCACGUAUCGGAUUUUAGGGCGCCCGGGCCACGGUCCUCUCUCGUCCCGCGACGGGAGACCCCCCCUUUUUUAUCAAGGUUGACCUCGGAUCAGGUAGGAAUACCCGCUGAACUUAAGCAUAUCAAUAAGCGGAGGAAAAGAAACCAACAGGGAUUGCCUCAGUAACGGCGAGUGAAGCGGCAACAGCUCAAAUUUGAAAUCUGGCCUCUCGGGGUCCGAGUUGUAAUUUGUAGAGGAUGUUUCGGGUACCGCCCCGGUCUAAAUUUCUUGGAACAGAAUGUCAUAGAGGGUGAGAAUCCCGUCUUGGACCGGCGGUAGGGCCUAUGUGAAACUCCUUCGACGAGUCGAGUUGUUUGGGAAUGCAGCUCAAAAUGGGUGGUAAAUUUCAUCUAAAGCUAAAUAUUGGCCAGAGACCGAUAGCGCACAAGUAGAGUGAUCGAAAGAUGAAAAGCACUUUGAAAAGAGAGUUAAACAGUAUGUGAAAUUGUUGAAAGGGAAGCGCUGGCAACCAGACUUGCGCGCGGCGGUUCCCCCUGCCUUCUGGCUGGGUUAUUCCGCCGUGUCCAGGCCAACAUCGGUUCUGGGGGUCGGUUAAAGGCCUUGGGAAUGUAUCUACCCUCCGGGCGUAGACUUAUAGCCCAGGGCGUCAUGCGACCUCCCGGGACCGAGGAACGCGCUUCGGCUCGGAUGUUGGCGUAAUGGUUGUCAGCGACCCGUCUUGAAACACGGACCAAGGAGUCUAACAUCUAUGCGAGUGUUUGGGUGUCAAACCCGGAACGCGAAAUGAAAGUGAACGGAGGUAGGAAGCUUCGGCUGCACUAUCGACCGAUCCUGAAGUUUACGGAAGGAUUUGAGUAAGAGCAUAGCUGUUGGGACCCGAAAGAUGGUGAACUAUGCCUGAAUAGGGUGAAGCCAGAGGAAACUCUGGUGGAGGCUCGCAGCGGUUCUGACGUGCAAAUCGAUCGUCAAAUUUGGGUAUAGGGGCGAAAGACUAAUCGAAC